This is a long non-coding RNA of Onychomys torridus (southern grasshopper mouse), 340 nucleotides long. RefSeq lists it as uncharacterized. NCBI's taxonomy places the organism in Eukaryota, Metazoa, Chordata, Mammalia, Rodentia, Cricetidae. The transcript is spliced from 3 exons. The record is from RefSeq and is a predicted model, not a curated record.
GAUCUGGACUGCUGCAAACAAGCAUGGCUAAAAACCUACAGAUUUUCUAAAGCUAAAUGCAGAGCGUGGGCAUUUGCCAUCUUGCCUACGUGAUUGACAAGAGAACUGAUACUUUGGAGGCUGGAAAUGUGAGAUUGCCGCUGUUGUCAGCCUCAAAUCACGACCACUGGUCAUGCUGUUGAGUGUUCCUGUGGCCCAGUGGCUGACUCUUCAUCACAGAUAGACAGCUGUCAUCACCCUCUUCCAAGACUCAGGGAUCAUGGAAGAAGAGGGACUGGAAAGAAUGGACCUUACUCACAGGAAGACUGCCCCGCCAACAGGUUCGGAGCUGACAAUGGGA